This 85-nucleotide transfer RNA is filed under the name bacterium. Its description in RNAcentral is "tRNA-Leu". It matches the Rfam family "tRNA". Rfam says of the family: Transfer RNA (tRNA) molecules are approximately 80 nucleotides in length. Their secondary structure includes four short double-helical elements and three loops (D, anti-codon, and T loops). Further hydrogen bonds mediate the characteristic L-shaped molecular structure. tRNAs have two regions of fundamental functional importance: the anti-codon, which is responsible for specific mRNA codon recognition, and the 3' end, to which the tRNAs corresponding amino acid is attached (by aminoacyl-tRNA synthetases). tRNAs cope with the degeneracy of the genetic code in two manners: having more than one tRNA (with a specific anti-codon) for a particular amino acid; and 'wobble' base-pairing, i.e. permitting non-standard base-pairing at the 3rd anti-codon position. The record is from RNAcentral.
GUCGCUGUGGCGGAAUGGCAGACGCUUCAGACUUAAAAUCUGAUGGGACGGAAGUCUCGUGUGGGUUCGAGUCCCACCAGCGAUA